GGGAGGCAGAUUUGAGAGCCUUGCCUCCUGUCUCCUUGUCCAUCAACCUCACAAUAAAGCCUUUUCUUUUCCCAAAAGUCUGUGCCAUAGUAUUAGCUGCUACGCUCAUCAGGCAGUGAGCCCUUUUGCUCGGUAACAGUUUCCUCUCGUACAUUUUCAGUCCAUGUUCUUGGCCCAUAUUUCUAUUGGGCUGUUUGUUUUUCUUGCUGAGUUGCAAGUUUGUUGUAUAUUCUGGAUACUAUGUUAGGUCUGGUUCCCAGAAGCAGAUCCUGAUACAAGGACUCACAUACAAGUGACUUAUUAUUAAGAAAGGAUUUAUCAAGAAAGCAGAUAUUUAUAGGGGAAACUGGUAACAGAGUGGGGGGGGGUCAAGACAGGAAAGGGGAGGAAACAAAGCAGAGCGUGCUCUAAGUCCUGCAGAAGGUAGUGUCUGCCUGAUCCCAGGGGGCUCUGGAAUGUAAGUCACCAACCCACCUGUCAUUGGCUAAAGGUCAUGUUGUAGGAUGUGAAUUCCUAUGCAUUUCUAGCUCUGGGGGGCGGGGGAGGGGGCAAGUGACUCCAGCAAUCUUUUUACAAAGAGCCACAGAUGUCAGCCAUUGGAAGCAAAAACAUACCAGCAGGUGUGCACAAAAACAGUCAAAAGGAAUGGAAGGUGAUCUGGGUGGAGAACGGACACCACCCACCUUAGUGAAGAGAUCAUUCAAUUUCACUAUUAAUUUGAGAAAUACAGACUAUAACAAUAAGAUAUUUUCUACCUAUCACAUUAGCAAAGAUAUAAGAGUUAGUCAAAAGUUCUAACCACAGAAAAAAAUUUUUUGGUGCUAUGUGAGGUGAUGCGUGUGUUCACUAACCUCCUUGUGCCCCCCAGGACAUAGCUGUAUAUUCUAGUUGUAGGUCCUUCUGGUUGUGCUGUGUGGGACGCUGCCUCAGUGUGGCCUGAUGAGCGGUGCCAUGUCUACGCCCAGGAUCCAAACCAGCGAAACCCUGGGCCACUGAAGCGGAGCGAAUGAACUUAACCACUCAGACACGGGGCCGGCCCCAGUCACCUACCUUUCGAUGCAGCGAUUUCUUUCCCAGGAAAUUUAUUCUCUAGCCAUAUUGACACAGGAGCAGACUGUGUCUGUGACACUAUUUGUAAAGGCAAAAAAACCCCCCAAGCAACCAACUGGCUACCAACAGGAGACAUCCACACAAGAGAAUAUUUUUUUGUCAUUAAAAAUUAAAUGAAGUAUCCAAUUCCAUGCAGGGGCACGGGAAGAUGACCAUGAGAUACUGGAUAAAUUUGCUUACUGUGUGACCUUAUACAAGUUACUUAACCUCUCUCAACCUCAAUUUCUUCAUCUCUAAAGUGAGGACAAUAUUAUUGAAGUAACAGGGUUGCCGUGCAGAUGAAAUGAUGAUACAUAUCAAGUGUUUUGCAUAGUGCCUGGCACAGCAAAAACGCUCUAUUAGUAAUAUUGUCAUUGUUAAGAGAAAAAAAAUGAAAGCUUCAAAACAGCAUGUAUAAGUGCUUUGCUUUUGUUAAAUCCAACUUAUACCAUAGGAAAAAAAAUCAUACUUUUUAAAAGUCUGAGAUUUGGAGGAUAGAGAACUUCUCCUUUUUACUUAGUACAUGUUGGUAUGUAUAACAUUGUCAAGAAUGACCACAUUACUUUAAAAGUGACGAUGAAACGUGGUUUUCAAAAAGAUGUGUGAGACUCAGACUGUGGAGUGUUGCUAAGUUGUUUCCACCAGCAUUUCCUCUUUCUGCUGUUUAGCUGAAAGUUUCUGCUUAAAAACUCACUUCUGCUCAGUGCUCUCACCUAGUGUCUCUGUGGAGUGGACAGAGGUAUCGUGACAGUGAAGACCAAGGACUCAACAGAGAAAAUAUUCUGCCACCAGCUCACACUCAGAGGGAACAAGGAGCGGUUUGCAGUUUUGACAACCAGAAGCCAGGCCAUAUUGUUAACGACAGAGGACAGACUGAAUCCUAUAGCUCUGAUGCCCCAGUCAAAUCUGCAAGGGCCCUGGAAGGACAGUGUGAUAUAUAUAUAUAUACACCCCUAAAAAAAAAUCUCAGCGGGUUACUUCAAAUAAAGUGCAAACCAGAACACUGUGGAUAUUUAGAAUAUGGAAGACGAGAGAUUUGAGCCAAAAAAAUGUUUGCCUACACAAUAUUCUUCCUUUCAUUGUCUGCCAGGAGAGUUACGUAAGCCUCGCCUCAGUCCCACCCAGAGCC
Molecule: long non-coding RNA, 2218 nt
Organism: Equus caballus (horse)
Lineage: Eukaryota; Metazoa; Chordata; Mammalia; Perissodactyla; Equidae
Source: Ensembl